Molecule: non-coding RNA, 71 nt
Organism: Loxodonta africana (African savanna elephant)
Lineage: Eukaryota; Metazoa; Chordata; Mammalia; Proboscidea; Elephantidae
Source: Rfam
GCCCUGGUAGCACAGUGGUUAAGCAUUUGGCUGCUAACCAAAAGAUGUGCAGUUCAAAUCUACCAGCCGCU